This 467-nucleotide ribosomal RNA is filed under the name uncultured bacterium. RNAcentral's name for it is "partial 16S ribosomal RNA". It matches the Rfam family "Bacterial small subunit ribosomal RNA", at positions 28 to 506 of the family's 1533-position model. The record is from RNAcentral.
GACGAACGCUGGCGGCGUGCUUAACACAUGCAAGUCGAACGGAAAGGCCCUGCUUUUGUGGGGUGCUCGAGUGGCGAACGGGUGAGUAACACGUGAGUAACCUGCCCUUGACUUUGGGAUAACUUCAGGAAACUGGGGCUAAUACCGGAUAGGAGCUCCUGCUGCAUGGUGGGGGUUGGAAAGUUUCGGCGGUUGGGGAUGGACUCGCGGCUUAUCAGCUUGUUGGUGGGGUAGUGGCUUACCAAGGCUUUGACGGGUAGCCGGCCUGAGAGGGUGACCGGCCACAUUGGGGCUGAGAUACGGCCCAGACUCCUACGGGAGGCAGCAGUGGGGAAUAUUGCACAAUGGGCGGAAGCCGGAUGCAGCAACGCCGCGUGCGGGAGGACGGCCUUCGGGUUGUAAACCGCUUUCGCCUGUGACGAAGCGUGAGUGACGGUAAUGGGUAAAGAAGCACCGGCUAACUACGU